RNAcentral lists this ribosomal RNA (401 nucleotides) under uncultured bacterium. RNAcentral describes it as "bacterial SSU rRNA". It matches the Rfam family "Bacterial small subunit ribosomal RNA", at positions 930 to 1347 of the family's 1533-position model. The record is from RNAcentral.
UAGCGGAGCAUGUGGUUUAAUUCGACGCAACGCGAAGAACCUUACCCAGGCUUGACAUGUAGCUGCAUCCCGGGGAAACCCGGGCGCCUUCGAGGGUGCUACACAGAUGCUGCAUGGCUGUCGUCAGCUCGUGUCGUGAGAUGUUGGGUUAAGUCCCGCAACGAGCGCAACCCGCGUCGCUAGUUACUCGUGUCUAGCGAGACAGCCGCCUUGAUGGGCGGAGGAAGGCGCGGAUGACGUCAAGUCAGCAUGGCUCUUACGCCUGGGGCGACACACACGCUACAAUGGCCACGACAGUGCGCGGCAAACUCGCAAGGGGGAGCAAAUCGCCAAACGUGGUCUCAGUGCAGAUCGGGGGCUGCAACUCGCCCCCGUGAAGGCGGAGUUGCUAGUAACCGCGA